RNAcentral lists this ribosomal RNA (497 nucleotides) under uncultured bacterium. RNAcentral's name for it is "partial 16S ribosomal RNA". It matches the Rfam family "Bacterial small subunit ribosomal RNA", at positions 28 to 507 of the family's 1533-position model. The record is from RNAcentral.
GACGAACGCUGGCGGCGUGCCUAAUACAUGCAAGUAGAACGCUGAAGAGAGGAGCUUGCUCUUCUUGGAUGAGUUGCGAACGGGUGAGUAACGCGUAGGUAACCUGCCUUGUAGCGGGGGAUAACUAUUGGAAACGAUAGCUAAUACCGCAUAACAAUGGAUGACACAUGUCAUUUAUUUGAAAGGGGCAAUUGCUCCACUACAAGAUGGACCUGCGUUGUAUUAGCUAGUAGGUGAGGUAAUGGCUCACCUAGGCGACGAUACAUAGCCGACCUGAGCGGGGGAUCGGCCCCCCUGGGACUGGAACAGCGCCCAGACUCCUACGGGAGGCAGCAGUAGGGAAUCUUCGGCAAUGGGGGCAACCCUGACCGAGCAACGCCGCGUGAGUGAAGAAGGUUUUCGGAUCGUGAAGCUCUGUUGUAAGUCAAGAACGGGUGUGAGAGUGGAAAGUUCACACUGUGACGGUAGCUUAACAGAAAGGGACGGCUAACUACGUG